UUUAAAGGAAGUAUUGUGGUUGUUGUUUGAGGUGACUAUGAAGUGUGAGGAAUGGAGUUCGUAUGGUGUGAAAAGGUGUAUGUUUGUGGAAGUGAGGGCUAUGGUUUAGUAUGGUAGUAUGAGUAAAGAAAAUGAAAGGGUGGUUGAAGGAGAGGAAGAAAGAAUGGUCUUUGUUGUUGUGUGGGGAAGCCGCCGACAGAUCCGUUGGUCUGGUUGAAACUCUCCCCUCUCCUC
This 234-nucleotide long non-coding RNA is filed under the name Lathyrus oleraceus (garden pea). RNAcentral describes it as "Pisum sativum (pea) long non-coding RNA (PSAT_LNC016788)". Lineage: Eukaryota; Viridiplantae; Streptophyta; Magnoliopsida; Fabales; Fabaceae. The record is from RNAcentral.